Molecule: long non-coding RNA, 1453 nt
Filed under: Salmo salar (Atlantic salmon)
Lineage: Eukaryota; Metazoa; Chordata; Actinopteri; Salmoniformes; Salmonidae
Description: lncRNA (ENSSSAG00000093300.1)
Source: RNAcentral
CAGUGUUGUCCACCUGGUUUAAAUCUCUGUCUGUUUGUCUCCUCUCUUCUCUGCAGGUCAUCAGAGCAGUGCUGGUGUCUCCUGUCCAUAUCAGACACAGUGUUGUCCACCUGGUUUAAAUCUCUGUCUGUUUGUCUCCUCUCUUCUCUGCAGGUCAUCAGAGCAGUGCUGGUGUCUCCUGUCCAUAUCAGACACAGUGUUGUCCACCUGGUUUAAAUCUCUGUCAGAUGCAUUGUGUAUUCUAUUUCCUGUCAGUGAUGUUAUCCAGGUGGAGUAUUCUAUAUCCUGUCAGUGAUGUUAUCCAGGUAGAGUAUUCUAUAUCCUGUCAGUGAUGUUGUAUUCUAUAUCCUGUCAGUGAUGUUAUCCAGGUAGAGUAUUCUAUUUCCUGUCAGUGAUGUUAUCCAUGUAGAGUAUUCUAUAUCCUGUCAGUGAUGUUGUCCAGGUAGAGUAUUCUAUUUCCUGUCAGUGAUAUUGUAUUCUAUAUCCUGUCAGUGAUGUUGUCCAGGUAGAGUAUUCUAUAUCCUGUCAGUGAUGUUAUCCAGGUAGAGUAUUCUAUUUCCUGUCAGUGAUAUUGUAUUCUAUAUCCUGUCAGUGAUGUUGUCCAGGUAGAGUAUUCUAUAUCCUGUCAGGGAUGUUAUCCAGGUAGAGUAUUCUAUAUCCUGUCAGUGAUGUUGUAUUCUAUAUCCUGUCAGUGAUGUUAUCCAGGUAGAGUAUUCUAUAUCCUGUCAGUGAUGUUGUCCAGGUAGAGUAUUCUAUUUCCUGUCAGUGAUGUUGUAUUCUAUUUCCUGUCAGUGAUGUUGUCCAGGUAGAGUAUUCUAUUUCCUGUCAGUGAUGUUAUCCAGGUAGAGUAUUCUAUAUCCUGUCAGUGAUGUUAUCCAGGUAGAGUAUUCUAUAUCCUGUCAGGGAUGUUGUCCAGGUAGAGUAUUCUAUAUCCUGUCAGUGAUGUUAUCCAGGUAGAGUAUUCUAUAUCCUGUCAGUGAUGUUAUCCAGGUAGAGUAUUCUAUAUCCUGUCAGUGAUGUUAUCCAGGUAGAGUAUUCUAUAUCCUGUCAGUGAUGUUAUCCAGGUAGAGUAUUCUAUAUCCUGUCAGGGAUGUUGUCCAGGUAGAGUAUUCUAUAUCCUGUCAGUGAUGUUGUCCAGGUAGAGUAUUCUAUAUCCUGUCAGGGAUGUUGUAUUCUAUAUCCUGUCAGUGAUGUUGUCCAGGUAGAGUAUUCUAUAUCCUGUCAGUGAUGUUGUCCCUAAUGGAAAGGCAUGUCAGAGCCCUGUCCUCCAGUGAGUCAUGUUUUCUCAUCUUUUCCAUUGUGAAUUUCAUCCGUUUCUCCUCUCAGAGGUAAAAGACAGUGAUGGUGUUUUCUAUCCGAUGCUUGUUAGCUGAGGAGGUCUCCAGCGGUCGGAGGAUGGUAUACCGCGGGGUGUUUCAGGAAGCGUCAUACAGCAAAGGACUGCUCAUCUUUC